UGAUGACGAGACGCUAAGGCGUUGAAGCAGUGUAUGUCAGACUUCCAAGAAAAGCUCGCAAUGUCAUAAAUAAAUAAUGCCUGUACCAUAACCGACACAGGUGGGUAGGUAGAGUAUACUAAGGGGCGCGAGAUAACUCUCUCUAAGGAACUCGGCAAAAUGACUCCGUAACUUCGGGAGAAGGAGUGCCUUAUUUAUAAGGUUGCAAUAACAAGAUCCAAGCAACUGUUUAUCAAAAACACAGGUCUCCGCUAAGUCGUAAGACGAUGUAUGGGGGCUGACGCCUGCCCAGUGCCAGAAGGUUAAAGAAGUUGGUUAGUGUAUGCGAAGCUGAUGACUGAAGCCCUGGUGAACGGCGGCCGUAACAAUAACGGUCCUAAGGUAGCGAAAUUCCUUGUCGGGUAAGUUCCGACCCGCACGAAAGGCGUAAUGAUUUGGAUACUGUCUCGGAGAGAGGCUCGGUGAAAUAGACUUGUCUGUGAAGAUGCGGACUACCUGCACCAGGACAGAAAGACCCUAUGAAGCUUUACUGUAACUUGAAAUUGGAAUUGGACUUUGCUUGCGCAGUAUAGGUGGGAAGCGUUGAAGAUAUUCUUGCGGGAGUAUUGGAGCUAUCAGUGAGAUACCACUCUUGUAAUGUUAGAUUUCUAACUUUGAACCAUAAUCUGGUCAAAGAACAGUUUCAGGUGGGCAGUUUGACUGGGGCGGUCGCCUCCCAAAUGGUAACGGAGGCGUACAAAGGUUUCCUCUGAACGGAUAGAAAUCGUAUCUAGAGUGUAAAGGCAUAAGGAAGCUUGACUGUGAGACCUACAAGUCGAGCAUGGACGAAAGUCGGUCUUAGUGAUCUGACGGUACUGAGUGGAAAGGCCGUCACUCAACGGAUAAAAGUUACUCUAGGAUAACAGGCUGAUCUCCCCCAAGAGUUCACAUCGACGGGGAGGUUUGGCACCUCGAUGUCGGCUCAUCGCAUCCUGGGGCGGUAGUACGUCCCAAGGGUUGGGCUGUUCGCCCAUGAAAGCGGUACGCGAGCUGGGUUCAGAACGUCGUGAGACAGUUCGGUCCAUAUCCGGUGUAGGCGCUAGAAUAUUGAGAGGAGCCUUCUUUAGUACGAGAGGACCGAGAAGGACACACCGCUGGUGUACCAGUUAUCGUGCCAACGGUAAACGCUGGGUAGCUAUGUGUGGAGUGGAUAACCGCUGAAAGCAUCUAAGUGGAAAGCCCACCUCAAGAUGAGUAUUCUC
Molecule: ribosomal RNA, 1241 nt
Filed under: metagenome
Description: bacterial LSU rRNA
Rfam family: Bacterial large subunit ribosomal RNA
Source: RNAcentral